UGGGGAAUAUUGCACAAUGGGGGAAACCCUGAUGCAGCCAUGCCGCGUGUGUGAAGAAGGCCUUCGGGUUGUAAAGCACUUUCAGCGAGGAGGAAAGGUUGAUACCUAAUACGUAUCAGCUGUGACGUUACUCGCAGAAGAAGCACCGGCUAACUCCGUG
Molecule: ribosomal RNA, 160 nt
Filed under: bacterium enrichment culture
Lineage: Bacteria
Description: partial 16S ribosomal RNA
Rfam family: Bacterial small subunit ribosomal RNA
Source: RNAcentral